This 735-nucleotide long non-coding RNA is filed under the name Gallus gallus (chicken). The record is from RNAcentral. Lineage: Eukaryota; Metazoa; Chordata; Aves; Galliformes; Phasianidae.
CGGAAAUAUUCUCAUCGUGAAGCGUGGGAAUUUUUACAGGAAGCUCUCAGCUAUUUUUGGUUUUGUUGCUUAUUGAGUGCUGUUAGAGCCCUUCACGGGGAGAUGCAAUAACUCUGUUAGAGCUGAAUAUACCUAGUAAAAGCUAAUACCUCUCUGUACAAACCUUGCCUUGCUUAUAUCCUUGGACCAUCACACCUGCAAUAACUCUAAAACAGAUUCAUCAGUGAUUCUGAAGUUAGUACCAAAGUCAACAUCAACAUCUGGAAUGGAGACGUCGCUGGUCAGAAUCUUCCUGUCUCUAUUGUACUUAAAGGUUAGUGUGGCUUCAUGCUGCUUUACACCUGGAAAAUAUAAUAGAGUCUUGUUAUCCACAACUAUGGAGCAUUAUGGACUUUUCUAAGAAGGAGAAAAAAUAGAAUCAGUUGAAAAUUACACCACCCUGAAAAUCUAAGGAAAGCCUGAAUGGGUCUCCGUUAGAAACAGGUUCAUCUUUUUCUCCUCAUCUUCAAAGCUCAUCAUGGACUAAUCCUGCCACUAUUAUUGUUGCAUAAGGUAUGUUGUCUCUCAUUUAAAAAAACAAACAAACAAAAAAACCCCAACACCUUUUGUUUUAUGCAGUUUUUCUCCAUUUGUAUGCAUUACUUCCAUAUUUCAUCAGAAAUGUAGUUUUCCUAUUGCUUAUGUUGAAAUCAUUAAUUUCUCCUUUUCCAUUCUUACAUUCAUUGACAUCAAAAU